This 301-nucleotide ribosomal RNA is filed under the name uncultured bacterium. RNAcentral describes it as "partial 16S ribosomal RNA". It matches the Rfam family "Archaeal small subunit ribosomal RNA", at positions 459 to 759 of the family's 1478-position model. The record is from RNAcentral.
CAGCCGCCACGGGAAAACCAGCAGCCCAAGUGGUGGUCGCGUUUAUUGGGCCUAAAGCGCUCGUAGCCUGGCCGGUAAGUUCCCCGUGAAAUCGGGUCGCCCAACGAUUCGGCUUGCGAGGAAUACUGUCGGUCUUGGGGCCGGGAGACGCCGAGGGUACUCCGGGGGUAGCGGUGAAAUGCUGUAAUCCUCGGGGGACUACCAGUGGCGAAGGCGCUCGGCGAUAACGGGCCUGACGGUGAGGGGCGAAAGCUGGGGGCGCGAACGGGAUUAGAUACCCCUGUAGUCCCUGUCUCUUAUA